GCAAGUCGAACGAAAUCUUCGGAUUUAGUGGCGCACGGGUGAGUAACAUGUGGGAAUCUACCUGAAGGUUCGGAAUGACUGCGGGAAACUGUAGCUAAUACUGGAUGUGUCUGCGAAGAGAAAGAUUUAUCGCCUUCAGAUGAGCCCGCACUAGAUUAGCUAGUUGGUGAGGUAAUUGCUCCACCAAGGCUACGAUCUAUAGCUGAUUUGAGAGGAUGAUCAGCCACACUGGGACUGAGACACGGCCCAGACUCCUACGGGAGGCAGCAGUAGGGAAUAUUGGACAAUGGGGGAAACCCUGAUCCAGCAAUGCCGCGUGAGUGAAGAAGGCCUUCGGGUUGUAAAACUCUUUCAUCAAUGAUGAUAAUGACAUUAGUUGAAGAAGAAGCUCCGGCUAACUUCGUGCCAGCAGCCGCGGUAAUACGAAGGGGGCUAGCGUUGUUCGGAAUCACUGGGCGUAAAGCGUAUGUAGGCGGAUCAAAAAGUUAGAUGUGAAAUCCCUGGGCUCAACCCAGGAACUGCAUUUAAAACUAAUGAUCUAGAAUUUGGUAAAGGUUAGUAGAAUUUCCAGUGUAGAGGUGAAAUUCGUAGAUAUUGGAAAGAAUACCAGAAGCGAAGGCGACUAACUAGGCCAUUUUUGACGCUGAGAUACGAAAGCGUGGGUAGCAAACAGGAUUAGAUACCCUGGUAGUCCACGCAGUAAACGAUGAGUGCUAGUCGCUGGGACAUUAGUUUCAGUGUCGAAGCUAACGCAUUAAGCACUCCGCCUGGGAAGUACGGUCGCAAGAUUAAAACUCAAAUAAAUUGACGGGGGCCCGCACAAGCGGUGGAGCAUGUGGUUUAAUUCGAAGCAACGCGAAGAACCUUACCA
This 871-nucleotide ribosomal RNA is filed under the name uncultured marine bacterium. Its description in RNAcentral is "bacterial SSU rRNA". It matches the Rfam family "Bacterial small subunit ribosomal RNA", at positions 57 to 976 of the family's 1533-position model. The record is from RNAcentral.